GGACGUUCUUAUUAAGGAAAUAUAGUCUAUAUGCUGUGUCUAUAGGGUUUUCGGGUUUUUUUUUUUUUUUUUUUUUUUUUUUUUAAGCAGGGGGUGUGUCUACUUCUUCUUCUUCUUUUUUUUGGCUUCUUUUUCUUCUUCCUCCUCUUGUUCAGUUAAAUUAGCGGUUCGGCUCAGGAGGUGUGUUCUUUUUUUUCCGUUUAGAAACCCUAUCCAUUGUUCCACUCUUACGGCGUAGUAAAACACGCCCCCAUCCGAACCGCCAGCCAAUCAUGUCCAAGUGUCCGUCCCUUCUUCUCUAGCUCCGCCCACAAACCUAUAUUAAAGCCUCCUACAUCGCAUGCCGACGGCAUUAGCUUAGAAGAGCUAUAAAGUAAACAGCUUAAUAUUGAUUAGAGAAGAAUCAACGCGAAGCGGAUUUACUUAAAUAUUUUCUUACGUUUUUUUUUGGCAUUAUUUAUAUUAUUUAGUCAAUAUAAAAAAUUUAAAAAAGACAACCAUGGCAGACACCAAGGUAGAUUCCGCGACGGAAAUUUCCGCCAAGGUAAGAAACACGGAAAAGGAGACAUCAAUCGUUGGGGGGUUUUUUCAUUCAUUUUAUUUCCUCCCGAUCUUUACUAGUUCGCGCGCGGACACCGAUGGAGAUCCCCACGGUAUCGUGCCCAAGAAAAACACAACAGAAAAAAAAAACAGAAAAAAAAGAAAACCCACUGAGACCGUUUUAGAUCACAUCAGAGUGAUUAAUUUGGAAUCCAAUUUGGAAGUAAAUCAACAAAUAUUGUUCUUAUUGUCCUGAAUGGGGCUUGCUAACGUUAACAUCGCGCGCGGGUUCUUUGUUUAUAAGCUACAGUCGGUUCUCGGUUCCUCUUUGAACCCGAGCAGCGCCGCCGGACAUGAGAAUGAUUAUUAUUCUAAUUAUGAUUAUAAUUAUGAUUAUUAUUAUUAUUACACCGACAAAUCACUGGUUGAUCACUCGCGUUGAUUGAUCUAAUCAUUUCCCCUGCUCUAAUAUGAUUUCAUUUGCACGCUGUUUGAUUUAUUAGGCCUUUAUAAUUAUAUUCCCGCGCCUUGUGCACAUUCUCAGCAACUUUAACAUUCUCUUACUGUUUAUAACUUGUGAAUUGUUUAUCCGUGGGAUCCUGACAUUACGCGUUUUUGAUGUGCAAGUUUAUUAUUUUCGGUUUGGAGUUUGUGAUGUCUCGGUGCUCGAGCGUUAAUUUCAUUUCAUUUGAUUUUUUUUUUUUAAACGUUCAUAUCCCAUCCAUCACACAUCAUUUGUCUGUAUCCUAUUAAUAGGCGUAUUAAUAAACUGGUUUGUUUUUGUUUAUUGGAUAUUCUCUCUCUCUCUCUCUCUCUCUCUCUCUCUCUCUCUCUCUCUCUCUCUCUCAUGUGCCCAUGAAGCGUUCUGGAUCGAGCCUGAUCUGAUAUCUUGUUACUUCCGAGUGUACAUUUCGGAAGUGCUGUUAGUUUGUAUCUAGAUUAUGUUCAGGGGUGCAGUGAUGUUUUUGUAGAUGUGACUAGAUGAACACCUGUGCUGCGAGGUGAUGUACACAUUCGGUUUGUUGCAUGCACUCUGUAGCCUAAAUAAUCCUUAUUAUUAUUAUUUUUUUUUUAAAUUAAUGCUAUUAACGGAGGUGCAUCGCAAGUAGAAUCUGAAUUACACCCGGCAUCAGAGAGGUGUCACAUACUGUCAAAUACCACCACUUCUACUACCACUGCUACUAAUAAUAAUAAUAGCGUAAUAAUAUAUAUUUUUAAAUAGCAUUGGGAUAAUUUGGUGGUCGCUCGUGCGGUGUGCUUGAUCUAAACAGAAAACCGUCGAGUCGGUUCUGAAAUUCGGAUAUGAAACGCACGCUCGUUUUCUCCAUGGCUUUCUGACUUCGGGACUUUAGUAGCGUGUAAAGUGAAUCAUCUGCGGUUUUUCCUAAUCGAGCACGUUUCGGUGAAAAGCCGGAUAAAGUGACUGACCGCCUCCGGUUUGUUCUUCUCGACCUAAAUCCGGUAGAUAGAUAGCGUGAAAGCAAGCAGGAGGGAGGGAAGGAAGGAAGGAGGGGGAGUGGAUUGCGCUCUUCUGGCUGCGCACCAAACCGCAUACUGUACUAGAUAGUACGCAACCUAUUGCUGUGCGCACUGUUUGUGCACUAGGUGUGCAUACUAUGUAGUACGGUAGUGUGUGUGUGUGUGUGUGUGUGUGUGUGUGCGGUAAUGGUUGCGCGCUCCAGAUUGGCGCACUGUUUAGUGCGCGAGGGUGCGCUAUGCUUUUUGGGAUUAUGGUCUCGGAUAUGAUGAGAGAGAGAGAGAAAGCCAUGCGCCAGGCCUUCUUUGUCCUUUCAAAGUCUUCCAAGUCAGCUUGUUUUCCCACCCCUGACUCGCCUGAAUCUUAACGACCGUCCCUUCUUUUUUUUCUUUCUUUUUCUUCCACGGGUGUGUCCGCCUCCUAGCAUAUGGCGUUCACGAAAUUGCCCGAACUACAAUACCCAUGGUAUCUCAAUAACACUGAGGUGUCGUAUUACAAAUCAUCUACCUCUUAAGUAGGCGGGUCCUUACGCCAAAUGAUUGACAGCUGGAAAGCCUCUGUGUCAGCCAAUGACGUUGUUCUGACCCUGGCUGCACUUUCACGCACAGGCUCACAGAGGGCGCUCUUGUCCACCUCCCACCCCCUUUCCUCUCACUCACCGUUUGGCCCAAGUCCAUUGGACGUAAUGAUGGUUUUAAAUAGCAAGGGCACUCUCGUCUAACAAGGCGUCGUGUUAAUGGGUGUGUUUAAUCAUUUUACAGGACUUGAAGGAGAAGAAGCUCCUUGAGGAGAAGGAAAAUGGAAAGGAGGCCACUAAUGGAAAGGUGCCACAUACUAAACGAUUCAUUUCGGUCAAGAUUUGUUCAUGGGUUGACUGAGACGAGGAGGGUGAUCUUGGUAUAACGGAAAUCUGCUUUAACAGGAAAAUGAGGAGAACGGAGAGCCUGAGAUUGAUGAGGAAGAGGAGGAUGAAGUAGACGAAGAAGACGAGGAGGAAGAUGGAGAGGGUGGGUGUUGCAGUUUCCUAAAAGUCAUUUUAACUUCUCGUAGAUGCGUCUGAUGAUGGAAACCUGGGUGCAAGUCUUGACUUAAUAUCGACUUUCUUAUUGCAGGAGAUGAAGAUGAGGAGGAGGACGAGGAGGACGACCUGGGCGGAGGAACGAAACGAGGGGCUGAUGAGGAUGACGAGGACGAUGAGGACGAGGUCGACCCGAAGAAACAGAAGACGGACGACGAUGAUUAAAAGGAUUGUUGGAUGCUACUGAUCCGGUGUAGAGCUCAUCUUCAGCACAUUUGUUGGAGCCAGUGGCAUAAAGGACUCAAACAUCAAACAUGGUCAUUUUUUCCCCCCCAAGUUCCUGCGUCUCACCCACUAACCCCCAAUGCAAAAUUUUCUAGAGGGAAAAGUCCACCACCCAGAUCCCCAACACGACGACAAAGUUCACAAGACGAGGAUUUGUUUGUAUUUUUAUUUACAUUUUAUAUUUUUGUACAUAUUGUUAAGGGAUCAGUCACUUGAUCGUGAUCUCCUGUGACCAAAACGGUGCUUCUUUAUGAAAUUUUACUUGUUUGACCAUGUCUCGCAAACUUUGGAAACAGAAACAUUUAUAAAAAAUAAUAAAAAAAAUUCAGCCAUUUAACUCUGAGCAUUCCAGUCAGAUUUUAUGUAUGAACUUUAGUUGUACCAUAAACUAGUUUUGUUUCGUUUUUGUUUUGUUUGUAUGGGAGGGCUAGGCCAAAGAAAAGGAGUUACUUUUCUUAUUGUUUUUCGUUUGCAUUUGUUUUACCUUGGCCUGUCUGUGUGUGUGAAGUUUGUUCAACAAUAAACCUGACUUUUAUUUUGUGAGUUGUACUUGACCUCUCUGUUUCCUUUGGUACAUCUCUGCUACCAGAAGCUUGAGUUCAAUUCACAGGACUGCUCGAGCAUCGCUUAAGAUCUUCACUAAAGCUAGUUUAGAAAGCCUGCAAUGUUGAUCUUAAUGUCAUCUGCUGUGCCUUAAAUUAUUAGUACUCAAUACAAGCAUGUAUGGGGAUGCUUAUUAUUGGGUUAAAAUAUGGAUAUAAUGUCUCUGGGUCAUGACCUCUACUGUAAAAUGUAAAAAGUUAAGGAAAAAAGGAUAUGGUGUACGGAGAUCUUUUGUGAGGAGUUUUGUGUUGGAAAUUAGAGCAUCGCACACAUGUUUGUGUUUGGGGAUGUAUUAAAUAUUUGAAUUUUGUUAAAGAUCAGUGCCCAAUAAAAUAAAGUACAUCAUAGCAGUUUUAAGAACAAGGAUGGCCUGUCGUUGACAAGUCCGAGAAUGACAUGGAAGACAGCAUGAUGAAGAAUUUAUUCUCUAGUCAAGGAAACUGUUUGGAUGAUGGCGCUGCACUGGGUUCCAUUAUCGGUUUGCGUUAAAUGCAUCAACCAUGAAGCACCUUGUGCAAUGUCUGAACUUACACUAGUGCCCACAUGUCAGCUCUGCUUAUUAAAAAGAAACAACUGUAACUUGAUCACCAUUCGUCCUCGUUAACAAUUGAUCAACUUCUCAAUGUCUGGUGAAGUUGACCAAAGUGCAGUGAAGCCUGUAUCAUGCGAAAGGUAAAGUGGAAAUCUGCUCUGAAUAUUUGAGAUUCAUCUUUAUAAUUAACAUGAUCUUGAACUUGAUUCAAGAUAGACUUUGU
Molecule: long non-coding RNA, 4678 nt
Organism: Ictalurus punctatus (channel catfish)
Lineage: Eukaryota; Metazoa; Chordata; Actinopteri; Siluriformes; Ictaluridae
Source: Ensembl